Molecule: ribosomal RNA, 119 nt
Filed under: Pteropus alecto (black flying fox)
Lineage: Eukaryota; Metazoa; Chordata; Mammalia; Chiroptera; Pteropodidae
Source: RNAcentral
GUCUAUGGCCAUGCCACCGUGAACUUGCCUGAUCUCGUCUGAUCUCAGAAGGUAAGCAGGGUCAGGCCUGGUUAAUACUUGGAUGGGAGACCAUCUAGGAAUACCAGGUGCUAUAGGCA